UGGAGCAUGUGGUUUAAUUCGAAGCAACGCGCAGAACCUUACCAACCCUUGACAUGGGAAGUUUGGGCUCGGGAGACUGGGUCCUUCAGUUCGGCUGGCUUCCACACAGGUGCUGCAUGGCUGUCGUCAGCUCAUGUCGUGAGAUGUUGGGUUAAGUCCCGCAACGAGCGCAACCCUCGCCAUUAGUUGCCAUCAUUAAGUUGGGCACUCUAGUGGGACUGCCGGUGAUAAGCCGGAGGAAGGUGGGGAUGACGUCAAGUCAUCAUGGCCCUUACGGGCUGGGCUACACACGUGCUACAAUGGCGGUGACAGUGGGCAGCAACUCAGCAAUGGGGAGCUAAUCUCAAAAAGCCGUCUCAGUUCGGAUUGGGGUCUGCAACUCGACCCCAUGAAGUCGGAAUCGCUAGUAAUCGCGGAUCAGCACGCCGCGGUGAAUACGUUCCCGGGCCUU
Molecule: ribosomal RNA, 451 nt
Filed under: uncultured Pedomicrobium sp.
Lineage: Bacteria; Pseudomonadati; Pseudomonadota; Alphaproteobacteria; Hyphomicrobiales; Hyphomicrobiaceae
Description: bacterial SSU rRNA
Rfam family: Bacterial small subunit ribosomal RNA
Source: RNAcentral